CUCCUGCUGCUGGCGGCCCUUCCAGGGCUCCGGGCGGCCGUGACCCUGCUGGAGUCCGGGGGGGACCUCCAGCCCCCCGGGGGGUCCCUGCGCCUCCUCUGCCGAGGACAGGGAUUCCAAUUUGGGGAUUUUGGGAUGUUCUGGAUCCGCCAGAAACCCGGGAAGGCGCUGGAAUGGCUCGCAGGGAUCAGCAGCACUGGUCGUUACACCGACUACGCUCCAUCCGUGAAGGGCCGGUUCACCAUCAGCAGGGACAACGGGCAGAGCUCGGUGACGCUGAGCAUGAACAACCUCCAGGACGAGGAUUCCGGGGUUUAUUUCUGUGCCAAAACCUUUGGAAAUAGUUGGAACCCUGCUGCUCUUGGUCACGGUUUCGAUGCCGGCGCCGGCCCCAAGCCGCCGUCGUUGGUGGAAACCAAAUGUCCCUGA
Molecule: non-coding RNA, 429 nt
Organism: Poecile atricapillus (Black-capped chickadee)
Lineage: Eukaryota; Metazoa; Chordata; Aves; Passeriformes; Paridae
Source: the annotation of a RefSeq genome assembly